UACGUAGGAAGACUAGUGUUAUUCAUCUUUAAUAGGUUUAAAAGGGUACCUAGACGGUAUAAUUAGUCUAAAAUAAGAAUACGGGUUAUACUAGAGUUAUAUAUGAGGAGGUGAGUAUUUAUGGAGUAGAGUUGAAAUUCUGAUCAUCCCAUAACGACUGGUAACGGCGAAAGCAACCUUUUAUCUAAUAACUGACGUUGAGGGACGAAGGCUCGGGUAACGAACAGG
RNAcentral lists this ribosomal RNA (228 nucleotides) under uncultured bacterium. RNAcentral's name for it is "partial 16S ribosomal RNA". It matches the Rfam family "Bacterial small subunit ribosomal RNA", at positions 524 to 776 of the family's 1533-position model. The record is from RNAcentral.